Molecule: ribosomal RNA, 546 nt
Filed under: uncultured bacterium
Lineage: Bacteria
Description: partial 16S ribosomal RNA
Rfam family: Bacterial small subunit ribosomal RNA
Source: RNAcentral
UGGGGAAUUUUGGACAAUGGGCGAAAGCCUGAUCCAGCAAUGCCGCGUGUGUGAAGAAGGCCUUCGGGUUGUAAAGCACUUUUGUCCGGAAAGAAAUCCUUGGCUCUAAUACAGUCGGGGGAUGACGGUACCGGAAGAAUAAGCACCGGCUAACUACGUGCCAGCAGCCGCGGUAAUACGUAGGGUGCAAGCGUUAAUCGGAAUUACUGGGCGUAAAGCGUGCGCAGGCGGUUUGCUAAGACCGAUGUGAAAUCCCCGGGCUCAACCUGGGAACUGCAUUGGUGACUGGCAGGCUAGAGUAUGGCAGAGGGGGGUAGAAUUCCAGUGUAGCAGUGAAAUGCGUAGAGAUGUGGAGGAAUACCGAUGGCGAAGGCAGCCCCCUGGGCAAAUACUGACGCUCAUGCACGAAAGCGUGGGGAGCAAACAGGAUUAGAUACCCUGGUAGUCCACGCCCUAAACGAUGUCAACUAGUUGUUGGGGAUUCAUUUCCUUAGUAACGUAGCUAACGCGUGAAGUUGACCGCCUGGGGAGUACGGUCGCAAGAUU